RNAcentral lists this long non-coding RNA (256 nucleotides) under Elaeis guineensis (African oil palm). Its description in RNAcentral is "long non-coding RNA (EGUI_LNC025496)". The record is from RNAcentral. Lineage: Eukaryota; Viridiplantae; Streptophyta; Magnoliopsida; Arecales; Arecaceae.
GCACUGACCGAUCGGAACGGCCACCAAUAUCAGUACCAAAAAUUUUGGAUCUGACUAAUGCCAGCAUCAAAUAGGGAUUGGUCGGAUACUAGUAAGCUCAACUUGGGUAUUUUCAUACCUAAAAGAGCCUCCUCAUCCUCAGGUAGUGCUUCAUUAAUGGAGUUAUAUUUGGUUUCAAGGUUACACCAUUUAUAGCUAAAACCCCAUGAAAUAUCGAAAGAAACAAAGAAAAAGUGAUUUUUCCAAUUGUGUAUGG